UGCUGUUUGGAGAAAUCACACGUUUGUUGAACCACAUCAUGGCUGUGACCACACAUGCCCUGGACCUUGGGGCCAUGACCCCUUUCUUCUGGCUGUUUGAAGAAAGGGAGAAGAUGUUUGAGUUCUACGAGCGAGUGUCUGGAGCCCGAAUGCAUGCUGCUUAUAUCCGGCCAGGAGGAGUGCACCAGGACCUACCCCUUGGGCUUAUGGAUGACAUUUAUCAGUUUUCUAAGAACUUCUCUCUUCGACUUGAUGAGUUGGAGGAGGUAAGCUAGGAGUCAAUGGGAAAAAUCUCUCCCCCACAAGAAGGGCUUGUGGGGUUUUAUUCCCCAGUUGUAAAGAAAUACAGAGAUAUUUGAAGAGUGUGAGGAAGAGUAUUAACACACCAGUUUUCUUGAUCAAUAGUUGCUGACCAACAAUAGGAUCUGGCGAAAUCGGACAAUUGACAUUGGGGUUGUAACAGCAGAAGAAGCACUUAACUAUGGUUUUAGGUGAGGGGAAUACAACUUCUCUCCGUAGGAGUGGGGGUGGGAGUGGGGGAGUUCCAGCCUAAUAUCUUGUCUUUGAAGACUUGUUGGCAUCCUCCUAGUCAUACCCUGAAUGUGAAGGAUCAACAAGGGAGGCUAAGGAAGAAGGAGCCUCCUUACUUAGUUUGUGGAGAGUGGCCCUUAUUCCCAUUAUGCUCUCCACAGUGGAGUGAUGCUUCGGGGCUCAGGCAUCCAGUGGGACCUGCGGAAGACCCAGCCCUAUGAUGUUUACGACCAGGUUGAGUUUGAUGUUCCUGUUGGUUCUCGAGGGGACUGCUAUGAUAGGUACCUGUGCCGGGUGGAGGAGAUGCGCCAGUCCCUGAGAAUUAUCGCACAGUGUCUAAACAAGAUGCCUCCUGGGGAGAUCAAGGUUGAUGAUGCCAAAGUGUCUCCACCUAAGCGAGCAGAGAUGAAGACUUCCAUGGAGUCACUGAUUCAUCACUUUAAG
Molecule: small RNA, 975 nt
Filed under: Pan troglodytes (chimpanzee)
Lineage: Eukaryota; Metazoa; Chordata; Mammalia; Primates; Hominidae
Description: processed transcript
Source: RNAcentral